Molecule: ribosomal RNA, 497 nt
Filed under: uncultured bacterium
Lineage: Bacteria
Description: partial 16S ribosomal RNA
Rfam family: Bacterial small subunit ribosomal RNA
Source: RNAcentral
GACGAACGCUGGCGGCGUGCCUAAUACAUGCAAGUUGAGCGCUGAAGGUUGGUACUUGUACCAACUGGAUGAGCAGCGAACGGGUGAGUAACGCGUGGGGAAUCUGCCUUUGAGCGGGGGACAACAUUUGGAAACGAAUGCUAAUACCGCAUAAAAACUUUAAACACAAGUUUUAAGUUUGAAAGAUGCAAUUGCCUCACUCAAAGAUGAUCCCGCGUUGUAUUAGCUAGUUGGUGAGGUAAAGGCUCACCAAGGCGAUGAUACAUAGCCGACCUGAGAGGGUGAUCGGCCACAUUGGGACUGAGACACGGCCCAAACUCCUACGGGAGGCAGCAGGAGGGAAUCUUCGGCAAUGGACGAAAGUCUGACCGAGCAACGCCGCGUGAGUGAAGAAGGUUUUCGGAUCGUAAAACUCUGUUGGUAGAGAAGAACGUUGGUGAGAGUGGAAAGCUCAUCAAGUGACGGUAACUACCCAGAAAGGGACGGCUAACUACGUG